Molecule: non-coding RNA, 355 nt
Organism: Pelobates cultripes (western spadefoot toad)
Lineage: Eukaryota; Metazoa; Chordata; Amphibia; Anura; Pelobatidae
Source: the annotation of a GenBank genome assembly
AUAAAUUAAGAAGUGAAUCUGCAGGACGCCUUGAUAGGUGUAUACUGUGCACUAUUCAUUCGUGUUCUAUUAUAGCAAUUACUUCUACUAAAAAGUUUUUUGGGGUUUGUUAUAUGCUUAUCAGGGCUCUUUCUUCCGACUAAUAGCUAACUCAGAAUUUCAGCAGCGGCAGUUGCCCAUGAAGGCACAGUGAGAUGGUUUCUAUAUCUAUAUAGACAGCAAUCAUUAGUAUUUAGAUACUAGCAACUGCAGUUUCAGUUUUAGCAACAAGAAGUGAUCUUCUCAAUUAGAACACGAAUGAAUAGUGCACAGUAUACACCUAUCAAGGCGUCCUGCAGAUUCACUUCUUAAUUUA